AUAAGAAAUGAGCAAAGAUGCAAAUUAUAAAAUAAUAGAACAUACAUAAGGAAUAUAGAAAUUAAAUAGACUGCUUUAAAAUUUCAGGUAUAGUAAAUACAUUUUUACAGCAGCAAUCAAAUAAGAAUUAAAAAAAUAAAACACUGCAUAAUCUUCACUAUAUAAAUGAUGUAUACAUUAUUAAAGCUACAUUAAUAUUCUUUAGCCAAGAGUGAUGAGCAAUUUUCUUUUUCUGUUGUUGUUCAACAUUAAACAUUAAAUGACAUGGACACAGUCUGGUUAACCUGCUGUCACUUGAAGACCUAAUGCACAGAUCCAAUAUACUGACACACAUUUAUCUCCCAACUGUUUCCCUUUACCCAAGACAAAACCAACUGUGUUUGUGAACCUUGUGUGUCCUUGACAUAACCCAUUUUAACUGUUCACAGCCCAAUGUGACUAAAUUAAUGACUUGCACAACAAACAUUAUUUACAUUUUGGCCUUGCACUAAC
Molecule: long non-coding RNA, 492 nt
Organism: Carassius carassius (crucian carp)
Lineage: Eukaryota; Metazoa; Chordata; Actinopteri; Cypriniformes; Cyprinidae
Exons: 2
Source: RefSeq, a predicted model, not a curated record